This 1141-nucleotide long non-coding RNA is filed under the name Homo sapiens (human). RNAcentral describes it as "HSALNT0354537". Lineage: Eukaryota; Metazoa; Chordata; Mammalia; Primates; Hominidae. The record is from RNAcentral.
GGAAUUCACAGUUUGAAAAGAAAGCAACUUGUUUUUGUAAGACUCAUUUCCAGAGAGCCAGCUCCUCUGUUUCCAUUUGCACCAGAUGACUUCAGGUCAGCAGAAUAUGGAAAGGACAGUCUCAGCCAAGGCUCCAAGAGCCUAGGCUAACAAGGCCCUAGGGGAAAGGCCUUCAAAGGGUACACAGAUUACUUACUGUGUCUGCCAGUGAAACUGACCAAAAGGAAGCAGACCUGCCGGUGCAGGCCAGGCACCAGGAAGUGUGAAAAUGCCGUGUUAAUGGCCACUGACUGUGGACACUCCUACAAGCUGUUCUUUGGAAGUCUGAUCUGGUUUGGCUGAAGGGCUGUGCCAGUAAGAACCACUUCCACCCAGCUGCUCUGCAGAAUUGGGGCAUCAGGAAGUUUGACAACGUGCUUUUCAUGAUCAUCAACAGAAAGUUUGUUGACUCAUGACCUAGAUGACUGCAAGAGCCUACAAUGAAGUCCCUCUGCAAACAGAAGCAAAAGGCACAGUCUGCUCCUCCUAAAGCAAGUCCACAUCUCUACUCCAGAAAAGAGCAAACUAUUUACAACUAUUUAAAUACAGCCUUUUCAUCUUAAAAAUUACAUUAAGUUUCUGGAAUUCUGAUAUACCCAAUUCCAAUUCUGGAGGCUGGCAAGUUCAAGAUCAAGGUGCCAGAAGAUUUGGUGUUUGGAUGGUCAUUUUCUGCUGCUAUGGCCCAGUUUGUGCCUUCAAGGACUGACUGUGUAAAAAAGAGCCCAGAAACUCUUUGAACUGACUUACAGUAGCUUCUUCAGCAGUCAGCUGUAACGAUGGCUGGAGCACCUGGUACCUGAGUGAGGGCCAAGAAUGGGCUCUGCAUGUGCCCUCCCUCAACAAUUGCCCACCACCCAUUCUCACACAAAUGCAGUGGGGGAUGAACCUGUAGGGAUGGGUAAUCAGCCUGAAAGGAACAAUUUUGCAUAUGUGUAAAAUCUGAAAAAAUAAAUUAUUAUUCAUGGGAAACAUGCCACUAAUAUGAUAGAGAAGAAAAAGUUUGAUAUUUGGUGUCUGAACAUUUGGGUGUUUCCAGACCUAUCUCUGCCAUUUACUCUAUGAUUAAGACUUCACGACAUAAGUUUUCUGAGUCUCAUCUUCC